RNAcentral lists this transfer RNA (69 nucleotides) under Marmota marmota marmota (Alpine marmot). It matches the Rfam family "tRNA". Rfam says of the family: Transfer RNA (tRNA) molecules are approximately 80 nucleotides in length. Lineage: Eukaryota; Metazoa; Chordata; Mammalia; Rodentia; Sciuridae. RNAcentral also lists the same sequence under 3 other names. The record is from Rfam by way of RNAcentral.
GGGGCUGUAGCUCAGUGGUAGAGCACUUGCCUAGCAUGUGUGAAGCACUGGGUUCAAUCCUCAGCACCA